AGCGAGGCCCAUCCUUCGGGGUGGUGCCCUAGCGGCGAACGGGUGAGUAACACGUGGGCAACCUGCCCUCAGCUCUGGGAUAACUCCAAGAAAUUGGUGCUAAUACCGGAUGUGACCGCUGACCGCAUGGUCUGGUGGUGGAAAGAUUCAUCGGCUGAGGAUGGGCCCGCGGCCUAUCAGCUUGUUGGUGGGGUAAUGGCCCACCAAGGCGACGACGGGUAGCCGGCCUGAGAGGGUGACCGGCCACACUGGGACUGAGACACGGCCCAGACUCCUACGGGAGGCAGCAGUGGGGAAUAUUGCGCAAUGGGCGAAAGCCUGACGCAGCGACGCCGCGUGAGGGAUGACGGCCUUCGGGUUGUAAACCUCUUUCAGUAGGGACGAAGCGAAAGUGACGGUACCUACAGAAGAAGCACCGGCCAACUACGUGCCAGCAGCCGCGGUAAUACGUAGGGUGCAAGCGUUGUCCGGAAUUAUUGGGCGUAAAGAGCUCGUAGGCGGUCUGUCACGUCGGCUGUGAAAACCCGAGGCUCAACCUCGGGCCUGCAGUCGAUACGGGCAAACUAGAGUACUGCAGGGGAGACUGGAAUUCCUGGUGUAGCGGUGAAAUGCGCAGAUAUCAGGAGGAACACCGGUGGCGAAGGCGGGUCUCUGGGCAGUAACUGACGCUGAGGAGCGAAAGCGUGGGGAGCGAACAGGAUUAGAUACCCUGGUAGUCCACGCCGUAAACGUUGGGCGCUAGGUGUGGGGGCCAUUCCACGGUCUCCGUGCCGCAGCUAAC
This 781-nucleotide ribosomal RNA is filed under the name Modestobacter caceresii. RNAcentral describes it as "bacterial SSU rRNA". It matches the Rfam family "Bacterial small subunit ribosomal RNA", at positions 65 to 856 of the family's 1533-position model. The record is from RNAcentral. Lineage: Bacteria; Bacillati; Actinomycetota; Actinomycetes; Geodermatophilales; Geodermatophilaceae.